ACAAGCGGUGGAUGAUGUGGAUUAAUUCGAUGCAACGCGAAAACCUUACCUACCCUUGACAUGUCCGGAAUCCUGCAGAGAUGCGGGAGUGCCCGAAAGGGAAUCGGAACACAGGUGCUGCAUGGCUGUCGUCAGCUCGUGUCGUGAGAUGUUGGGUUAAGUCCCGCAACGAGCGCAACCCUUAUCAUUAGUUGCUACGCAAGGGCACUCUAAUGAGACUGCCGGUGACAAACCGGAGGAAGGUGGGGAUGACGUCAAGUCCUCAUGGCCCUUAUGGGUAGGGCUUCACACGUCAUACAAUGGUCGGUACAGAGGGUCGCCAAGCCGCGAGGUGGAGCCAAUCCCAGAAAGCCGAUCGUAGUCCGGAUUGUUCUCUGCAACUCGAGAGCAUGAAGUCGGAAUCGCUAGUAAUCGCGGAUCAGCAUGUCGCGGUGAAUACGUUCCCGGGUCUU
This 452-nucleotide ribosomal RNA is filed under the name uncultured Thiobacillus sp. RNAcentral describes it as "bacterial SSU rRNA". It matches the Rfam family "Bacterial small subunit ribosomal RNA", at positions 925 to 1382 of the family's 1533-position model. Lineage: Bacteria; Pseudomonadati; Pseudomonadota; Betaproteobacteria; Nitrosomonadales; Thiobacillaceae. The record is from RNAcentral.